This 448-nucleotide long non-coding RNA is filed under the name Arabidopsis lyrata. RNAcentral's name for it is "long non-coding RNA (ALYR_LNC001337)". Lineage: Eukaryota; Viridiplantae; Streptophyta; Magnoliopsida; Brassicales; Brassicaceae. The record is from RNAcentral.
CUUGGCCCAUUGGUUGACCAAGGGUUGAUUAAUGCUUCUACACUAAGAGGUCUGGGGUUCGAGUCCUAGAUAUUGCGAUUUAUUAUCAAAUUUGCAGAUUAAUGGAGGCAAGUGUGCAGGAGAUCUCCAGCGAUGUACAAUUAUAGCCGUGCGCCAGGAUUCUACGCAGGGAAGGAAGUGUCGCCAGGUCGUGGAUCAUUGAAGGUAUUCAUCAAGAUCAUGAAGAAGGAAGUGUAAUCUGUCGUGGAUCUACUAAGGGUCGGCAGAAAUUGUCAGUUGGAGAAUCGUCUAUGUAACAGUUCUCAUAAUUUGUAAUUAAUAAUAAAUCUAGACGACAAAAAAAAAAAAUUUGUAUUUAAUCAUUAUAUGACAUGACAUAAUGAUUAGAUAAAAUUAAAAAUAUAAGGGUUCACCCCAAAAAUUGUUCAAAAAGUUGUUAGUUCCUGAU